UACAUUAUAUAUUAUCUUUUUCGAAAUUAUUUAUUUUGUACUGUACUUUCAUUUUAUACAUUUUUACUUGGGAGUGUAUAUCUUUUAUACUGUAUUUAACUUUUUCUAUUUCUUCCAUAGGCUAUAGGAUUUUAUUUUCUUAUUCUUCUUUCUCAUUUCUGAUUUAUCGUUCAAGUAAAACACCCACAAAUUAUAUCAAACUUCUUGAAGCAAGAAUGAAGAUAGAAUUUGGUUCCUCCUUGUGAAUCUCCUCAAUCAAGGCAGCGGGAGUCAAAUUCGAUGUAGACGCGAAUACCGUCGAGAGAUUAUACAAACAAUUCUUUGAUGAAGUCUUUCUUGUGCAGAUGCAGUUCCGGCAACCAUAUCAUCUUUCUUCUUUGUUUGGGUAUCAUUUUUUUGGGAUUGUGCUAAUCAACCAUAUCAUCUUAGAUUUGCAAUCACUGAUUCAAUUGGGAAACAAUUCACUAAUCUGUGGUCAAAGUUUAUCAGUUGAGUUGAUCCCAUAAAAAUGACUUUCAUUUCUAAGCAUGAAGAGAUUUGGAUAUAAUUCUAUUAUAUUGCAGUUCUAUCAAUUGAAGCCGAAACAAGGAAAUCCAGAUUAGAAGACUGAACGGCCAGCAGCGCGGCCACUAAAAGUUCUUACUGGUUCUCAACUGAAACUGAUCCAAAUUGCAAACUGUGGAACUGAUACUGGUAGUGACAUUGGGCCAAGAAUAUUUUCUGUCAUUUUUUACUGGUUCUCCAAUUAGCAAAAUGCAAUAAUAUUUAGAAAGACUCUCAGUA
Molecule: long non-coding RNA, 783 nt
Organism: Ricinus communis (castor bean)
Lineage: Eukaryota; Viridiplantae; Streptophyta; Magnoliopsida; Malpighiales; Euphorbiaceae
Exons: 2
Source: RefSeq, a predicted model, not a curated record